RNAcentral lists this small RNA (80 nucleotides) under Deefgea tanakiae. Its description in RNAcentral is "Deefgea sp. D25 sX9 sRNA". It matches the Rfam family "Xanthomonas sRNA sX9". Lineage: Bacteria; Pseudomonadati; Pseudomonadota; Betaproteobacteria; Neisseriales; Chitinibacteraceae. The record is from RNAcentral.
AUGUACUUCUCGUACACUCCGGUUCCUCCGUUCCGGCCUCACUACGCUGACGGGCGCUCGCUGCUUUUAAAGUGCUAGGC